CUACGGGUCGCACCAGUGGGGAAUAUUGGACAAUGGGGGAAACCCUGAUCCAGCGAUGCCGCGUGAGUGACGAAGGCCUUCGGGUUGUAAAACUCUUUCACCUGUGAAGAUAAUGACGGUAGCAGGAGAAGAAGCACCGGCAAACUCUGUGCCAGCAGCCGCGGUAAUACAGAGGGUGCUAGCGUUGUUCGGAAUGACUGGGCGUAAAGAGCUCGUAGGCGGUUAUAUAAGUCGUACGUGAAAUCCCUGGGCUUAACCCAGGAACUGCGUUCGAUACUGUAUGACUUGAGUUCAGGAGAGGAAAGCGGAAUUCCUAGUGUAGAGGUGAAAUUCGUAGAUAUUAGGAGGAACAUCAGAGGCGAAGGCGGCUUUCUGGACUGAUACUGACGCUGAGGAGCGAAAGCGUGGGGAGCAAACAGGAUUAGAUACCCCAGUAGUC
RNAcentral lists this ribosomal RNA (439 nucleotides) under uncultured bacterium. Its description in RNAcentral is "partial 16S ribosomal RNA". It matches the Rfam family "Bacterial small subunit ribosomal RNA", at positions 339 to 795 of the family's 1533-position model. The record is from RNAcentral.